AAAUUGAAGAGUUUGAUCAUGGCUCAGAUUGAACGCUGGCGGCAGGCCUAACACAUGCAAGUCGAACGGUAACAGGAAACAGCUUGCUGUUUCGCUGACGAGUGGCGGACGGGUGAGUAAUGUCUGGGAAACUGCCUGAUGGAGGGGGAUAACUACUGGAAACGGUAGCUAAUACCGCAUAACGUCGCAAGACCAAAGAGGGGGACCUUCGGGCCUCUUGCCAUCGGAUGUGCCCAGAUGGGAUUAGCUAGUAGGUGGGGUAACGGCUCA
This 270-nucleotide ribosomal RNA is filed under the name Escherichia coli. RNAcentral describes it as "partial 16S ribosomal RNA". It matches the Rfam family "Bacterial small subunit ribosomal RNA", at positions 1 to 267 of the family's 1533-position model. The record is from RNAcentral. RNAcentral also lists the same sequence under 1 other name. Lineage: Bacteria; Pseudomonadati; Pseudomonadota; Gammaproteobacteria; Enterobacterales; Enterobacteriaceae.